Non-coding RNA from Larimichthys crocea (large yellow croaker), 113 nucleotides. The record is from Rfam. NCBI's taxonomy places the organism in Eukaryota, Metazoa, Chordata, Actinopteri, Sciaenidae.
CUAGGUAUGGAGACAUGGUGCCAAAGACAAUUGCGGGGAAGAUCUUUGGCUCAAUCUGCUCCCUGAGUGGUGUGUUGGUGAUUGCUCUGCCCGUCCCCGUUAUCGUCUCUAAC